CAAUAGCGUAUAUUAAAGUUGUUGCGGUUAAAAAGCUCGUAGUUGGAUUUCUGCCGAGGACGACCAGUCCGCCCACUGGGUGAGCAUCUGGCUCAGCCUUAGCAUCUUCUUGGAGAACGUAUCUGCACUUCAUUGUGUGGUGCGGUAUCCAGGACUUUUACUUUGAGGAAAUUAGAGUGUUUCAAGCAGGCCUACGCCUUGAAUACAUUAGCAUGGAAUAAUAAGAUAGGACCUCGGUUCUAUUUUGUUGGUUUCUAGAGCUGAGGUAAUGAUUAAUAGGGAUAGUUGGGGGCAUUCGUAUUUAACUGUCAGAGGUGAAAUUCUUGGAUUUGUUAAAGACGGACUACUGCGAANGNAUUUGCNAAGGAUGUUUNCAUUG
This 379-nucleotide ribosomal RNA is filed under the name uncultured eukaryote. RNAcentral describes it as "partial 18S ribosomal RNA". It matches the Rfam family "Eukaryotic small subunit ribosomal RNA", at positions 592 to 975 of the family's 1831-position model. The record is from RNAcentral.